This is a non-coding RNA of Sesamum indicum (sesame), 5212 nucleotides long. Lineage: Eukaryota; Viridiplantae; Streptophyta; Magnoliopsida; Lamiales; Pedaliaceae. The record is from RefSeq and is a predicted model, not a curated record.
AGCUAUUGCAGCCAUCCCCAAAAGAGGCAUCAGCUUUCUGUUACUCGAGAUGGCAAAUGUGGUACUGAUUUGAGGAGAUUAUAUUGGUGCUGAGCCAAUUUGUCAUGCACAAUACACUAUACAACUUAAAACAAGACCAGCUGAUGCAGGUUUGUAUAGAUGUUUGUUCUUUCCUAGUGAGUAGUAUAUUGGUUAUUGUUCGGCAUCUACACUAAUCCAUCCGGUGUGCUGGUUGAAUUACUUGCAUUACAUGUAUUUUCAUAUCCAAAUUGAUGCAAGAAUGCCAAAGCAAGGGCUUCUUAAUCUACCUGUCAAGAAUCUGAAUUCCAAGUCACAGCUCACCUGUUGUCAUCAUCAGGCAAUUGCAGCCAUCCUCAGAAGGAUGUUAAUAAGAGUCACCUUUCUCUUACCCGAGAUGACAGAUCUGGAACUAGUCUGAGGAUAUCUACUGUGCUGCUGAGCCAACUCGUAAUGAACCAAAAGCUAUACAAUAUAAUGUGGGAACAGGCUCUUCAACAAGUUCCAAUUCUACAAGUUUUGAUUCCAGCUUCUGAAUCCAAGAACUUAUGUUGGUGCAUGAAGCGACAUGAGCAGCUAAUAUUUUCUCAAGCAUGCAUUCUUUCAGGAACAUAGUUUGUUUCACUUGGUCACGCGAACAUCCGGGGAGCUGAUAUUAUUACCUGCGUCUUGAAGUUCAUCCAAAAUGGCUAAAAGGGAAAAGAUGUUGAGGUCUCAUUCAAGGACACUAAGUUUGGCGUGUAAGGGCGCAAAGAUAUUUUUCACUAGUUGUCAAGACAACUUGCUGGACUAUCCGAUUUUCCUCAUGCUAUACAUUUACUAAAACCCUCUGCAUCUGCUUCUGCUGUGACGGUAGAUGUUCGUAAAGCUGCUGAAGCAUGCUUUAGUUAAUAUUCAGGGUUUGAGGACACGAAAUGGCAUGUGACACAAGUUUUGAAAAAUGUACAAGGUUCUUUAGCUAUUGAUGUCGAACAACUGUAAUCGUAUAGGGUUUUCAAGAAAAUAUCGAUUCGGGUAGAUUGAUUUUAGCAACCAUAACAUCCAAAACCAGUUCAAAGGUUGGAAAAUCUAAUGCUUAUAGUGAUCGUGCACUUCCAUCAUGGAAAGGAACAUAGUUGCAUCUUCACUCUUACCAAAGGACCAACACAAGAUUGAUCGUGCGUGUUCACGACAUCAACAUUUCAGUCACACGCUUUGCUGAAUGUGAAUGACUCGAACAAGGUAAGAUAAAUUUGGCAGUUGACAUACAAGGUAUGACUUUUUGGUUAUGCUUGAUGUAUUUUUUUUUUUUUUUGGUUACUUUUGUCUGAUUGAUGUCUUCUGAUUAUUGUUGUCUUUUGAUUGUGGGUUUUUUGUGAUUAGUCUGUGGGGUUUUUUUUAGAAUUAUUUAUAUGUUUGCGUUUUUUGUGUUCUGAUUGUUUUUGUGAUGUUGGGUUGUGUUGGUUUGUUUUGUUUGUGUAAUUUAUUUUGGGUUUUGGUGCAAUUUGUCUUAAUUGUUCGAACUUGUUUCUUCGAUUGAUCUUUUAUUUCAAAUUAGUUUGUGAUUGUGAGAUGUUGUUUGUGAUUCUGAAUUGUUUUUUGUCGGUUAUGAUUCUUGAAUUUCUAGUUUCUUGGAAUUUGUUUUAAUUUUAUCUUGUAAUUAGUUUUGUGAUUGUGGGCUUGGGUGCAACUGGUGUGAUAUUUGAAUUAGUUUCUUGGACCAUUCUUUGUAGUUGUGAUUAUUCAUUUUUUUGGGUGAAUUUGGUCUGAUUGAUGUUCCUUUAUUUGGUUAGUUUUCUCGGUGUUUGAUUCUUUUGAUACUCUAAUGGAAUAUCAGUAAGUCGUGUGAUUGUGGGUUUCUUUUUUAUUGAUUGUUGUGUGAUUUGUGAAAUUUUAUUCUGGUUGUUUAUGUGAUUGUACUGUUUGUAGUGUAAUUUGACUGUGAUUGUUGUUUGUUUUGUGAUUGAUUGUGAUUCACGGUUUUUUUUUAUGAUUGUGGUGUGAUUUCUAGAUUUGUUUUGUUUAUGUGACUUUGUAUUUUGAUUGUUUGAUCGUUUUUGUUUGUGGGCUUGUGAAGUUGAAUUGUUGUGGAUUUUGGUGCAAUUUGACUUGAUUGUUUGAACUUGUUUAUUCGAUUAGACCUUUGUCUUCUGAAUAGUUUAUGUGGUUGUUUGUAUUCUUUUUGUGAUUGUGGUUUGUCUUGUGAUUCUUUUUCUGAUUGUGGUUUGUGUUCUAAUUCUUUUUGUGAUUGCAAGUUUGUCUUAUGAAUUUUCGUGAAUGUUGGUAUUUUUCUGAUUGAUUGUUAUGUGAUUUGUGGAAUUUUAUUCUGAUUGUUUAUGAGAUUGUAUCGUUCGUAGUGCAAUUUGACGUCUCAUUUUUAUUUGUCUUGUGAUUGACCACAGUGAUUCACAGUUUUUAUGACUGUUGUGUGAUUUCUGGAUUUGUAUUGUUUAUGUGACUGUUUGUAUUUUGAUUGUUUGAUCGUUUUUGUUUGUGGGCUUGUGAAGUUACUUGAAUUUUUGUGGGUUUUGGUGCAAUUUGACUUAAUUGUUUGAACUUGUCUCUUGGAUUAGGCCUUUUGUCAUCUGAAUAGUUUAUGUGAUUAUCGGUUGUUUGUAUUUUUUAUAUGAUUGUGGUUUGUCUUGUGAUUCUUUUUGUGUUCUAAUUCUUUUUGUGAUCGCGAGUUUGUCUUAUGAAUUUUCGUGAAUGUGGGUAUUUUUCUAAUUGAUUGUUAUGUGAUUUGUGGGUUUUUUUUUCUGAUUGUUUAUGAGAUUGUGUCGUUCAUAGUGUAAUUUGACGUGUGAUUGUUGUUUGUCUUGUGAUUGAUGUGAUUCACAGUUUUUAUAUGACUGUUGUGUAAUUUUUGCAUUUGUAUUGUUUAUGUGACUAUUUGUAGUUUUGAUUGUUUGAUCGUUUUUGUUUGUGGGCUUGUGAAGUUACUUGAAUUGUUGUAGGUUUUGGUGCAAUUUUUGACUUAAUUGUUUAUUCUUGUCUCUUGGAUUUGUCUUCUGAAUAUUUUAUGUGAUUAUGGGUUAUUUGUAUUCUUCUUGUGAUUGUGGUUUAUGUUUAAAUUCUUUUUGUGAUCGCGAGUUUGUCUUAUGAAUUUUCGUGAAUGUGGGUACUUUUUUGAUUGAUUGUUAUGUGAUUUGUGGGAUUUUAUUCUAAUUGUUUAUGAGAUUGUGUUGUUUGUGGUCUCAUUGGGUUUUGGUGCAAUUUGUUUUAAUUGUUCGAACUUGUUUCUUGGAUUCAUCUUUUAUUUCAAAUUAGUUUGUGAUUGAGAGAUGUUGUUUGUGAUUCUGGAUUGUUUUUUGUCGGUUAUGAUUCUUGAAUUUCUAGUUUCUUGGAAUUUGUUUGUUUUGUAAUUAGUUUUGUGAUUGUGGGCUUGGGUGCAACUGGUGUGAUAUUUGAAUUAGUUUUUUGGACCAUUCUUUGUGGUUGUGAUUAUUCAUUUUUUUGGGUGAAUUUGGUCUGAUUGAUGUUCCUUUAUUUGGUUAGUUUUCUCAGUGUUUGAUUCUUUUGAUACUCUAAUGGAAUAUCAGUAAUUCGUCGUGUGAUUGUUGGUUUCUUUUUUAUUGAUUGUGUGAUUUGUGAAAUUUUAUUCUGGUUGUUUAUGUGAUUGUACUGUUUGUAGUGUAAUUUGACUGUGAUUGUUGUUUGUUUUGUGAUUGAUUGUGAUUCACGGUUUUUUUUUAUGAUUGUUGUGUGAUUUUUAGAUUUGUUUUGUUUAUGUGACUGUUUGUAUUUUGAUUGUUUGAUCGUUUUUGUUUGUGAGCUUGUGAAGUUGAAUUGUUGUGGAUUUUGGUGCAAUUCGACUUGAUUGUUUGAACUUGUUUAUUGGAUUAGACCUUUUGUCUUUUGAAUAGUUUAUGUGGUUGUUUGUAUUCUUUUUGUGAUUAUGGUUUGUCUUGUGAUUCUUUUUCUGAUUGUGGUUUGUGUUCCAAUUCUUUUUGUGAUCGCAAGUUUGUCUUAUAAAUUUUUGUGAAUGUUGGUAUUUUUUUGAUUGAUUGUUAUGUGAUUUGUGAGAUUUUAUUCUGAUUGUUUAUGUAGAACUUUCUCCCACAUAGUUCUGAAAUCUGCUUGUCAAUUAGAGCUUAGACCAUUCGACAUGCCCUAUGUCAGUGAGCCCGGGAUUAUGCGAGUAUCUUCUCUAUACCCACGUAGAAUGUAUUUUAAAAUUCGAUUAAUGGCCAACUUUCCCAAAAGAAAUUUUCAAUUGACGGACACGAGUUUUCUGCCUGAACUUAUAUGUCAUUUAUUUCAUCAAUUUAUGAUUCAUGAGUGGUAUUACAAUUUUGAUUCAAAUUAUUAACUAAUGCUUGGUAGCAUAUUUUGUUUGACUUAUUUAUGUUGAAAAUAUUUUUGGAAAAGGAUUAUAAAGAAAGUAAUUUAGAUUUGAAAAUUUUACUCAAUCAUUUUUUCAAUACUAAUUAAUGAAUUUAACUUUUAAUAUUGGGAUUUCAAUAUAAUCAAUUAAAAUAUUAGAGGAAAUUAAAAUUAUUAAUUUACAACUCUAUUAUCUGCAUUACCUAUUAAAGAUACUUAAUUAUGUGACUGUCCAGAAAAAUUAAAUUAUGCUAAUUGUCUAUUCAAAAGAGUAUUAGCGAUCAACAAAAAAAAAAUAUAAAUUUGAAGUUGACUUCUUCACCUAAUAUUAUGUUAAACAAAAGAAUUAUGUAAUUAGGCUUUAAUAUUUAGUUAGGAGAAAUCGUGAUCAAACACGUGAUAGCGUAAACUUACCAGUCUUCUCCAUUAUUAUAUAUUUUUGUAGCAUACAAUUUCAUAUAUAAUAUCAAGGGUAUACGAUCCACAGACUAAUUACAAUGUCAAUACUUUUAAUUGCAAUAAAAACAUUGCAUUAUAUAUGAAAAAUUGUGCAUUAUAGAAGUUUCAAGAACCAUACCUACUUUACCAAUAAAAUAGAUAAAUGCACAUAAAAAAAUUGAAGGAUGGUCAAAUACAUGUCGAAAAUAAGAAAAGAUCGACUAAUCUCACUGUAUUCUACGUAAUGAAUAGCUCAUAAUUCGAUUUGGUGAGUUUGGUUAAAUUAAAAAAAACAUUAUUACCACAUUCAUUUAAUUUUUAGUUUGAAAAAAAAUAAGAAAAAAAGUGAUUGUUCAGUUAGGGCCAGCCAUCUAGCUUUGGUGAGCCAAUGGAGCACCGACACGUUAUCCUUCCACUACAAAGAGCGGGAGGUUUUCGCUGCUCUGUGAAGCCA